RNAcentral lists this ribosomal RNA (253 nucleotides) under uncultured bacterium. RNAcentral's name for it is "partial 16S ribosomal RNA". It matches the Rfam family "Bacterial small subunit ribosomal RNA", at positions 524 to 776 of the family's 1533-position model. The record is from RNAcentral.
UACGUAGGGUGCAAGCGUUAAUCGGAAUUACUGGGCGUAAAGCGUGCGCAGGCGGUUAUGUAAGUCAGGUGUGAAAUCCCCGGGCUCAACCUGGGAACUGCAUUUGUGACUGCAUCGCUGGAGUGCGGCAGAGGGGGAUGGAAUUCCGCGUGUAGCAGUGAAAUGCGUAGAUAUGCGGAGGAACACCGAUGGCGAAGGCAAUCCCCUGGGCCUGCACUGACGCUCAUGCACGAAAGCGUGGGGAGCAAACAGG